RNAcentral lists this ribosomal RNA (497 nucleotides) under uncultured bacterium. RNAcentral's name for it is "partial 16S ribosomal RNA". It matches the Rfam family "Bacterial small subunit ribosomal RNA", at positions 28 to 507 of the family's 1533-position model. The record is from RNAcentral.
GAUGAACGCUGGCGGCGUGCCUAAUACAUGCAAGUCGAGCGAACAGAUGAGGAGCUUGCUCCUCUGACGUUAGCGGCGGACGGGUGAGUAACACGUGGAUAACCUACCUAUAAGACUGGGAUAACUUCGGGAAACCGGAGCUAAUACCGGAUAAUAUAUUGAACCGCAUGGUUCAAUAGUGAAAGACGGUUUUGCUGUCACUUAUAGAUGGAUCCGCGCCGCAUUAGCUAGUUGGUAAGGUAACGGCUUACCAAGGCAACGAUGCGUAGCCGACCUGAGAGGGUGAGCGGCCACACUGGAACUGAGACACGGUCCAGACUCCUACGGGAGGCAGCAGUAGGGAAUCUUCCGCAAUGGGCGAAAGCAUGACGGAGCAACGCCGAGUGAGUGAUGAAGGUCUUCGGAUCGUAAAACUCUGUUAUUAGGGAAGAACAAAUGUGUAAGUAACUAUGCCCGUCUUGACGGUACCUAAUCAGAAAGCCACGGCUAACUACGUG